CGCAAUGUAAUCAGUAAUAGCCAAGAUCCCCUCUCUAAUUCUGCCCCUUCCUCGAAGUAGCCGCCCAAUAUGUUCACUCCUUGCCUCUAACACUUGAAAAUCACAAAGGCUCUGACUUUUCAAUUGUUGUAUCUCUUCUUCCAUUUGGGCCAUCAAUAGUGCUCCCUGUCAGCUUUGAAAUCCGUAGCCUGCUUAGCUGCCUCAUUUUCAAGAACAAUUACCUUUUUCUUUAGGCUAGUGAUCAUCCCCUUGUACUUUCUCUUCAAUCGCUGCACAAUUGAGUCCGAUCUUUGGCAUUUUAUAAUAAUUGAUCCCGGGCUUCUGACAGACUAAAUUUUUACUUGUCUAGGUCAUCUUGGCAUUCGAGGGAUUUCUUUCUCAGGCUGCUUAUCAGUCUUUCAUCCGCUCGAUUCCUUCAUGGGUUUUGGACAACUAUUUUCAACCUUGGAUCUGGUCCUUGGGAGCCUCAUUUUCUUGAGUCAGUAUGCUCUUUUCUCCUUCAUUGGCAGCAACUUGCACACCAUUUUCAAAUUGCAGGUCCCUAAC
This 546-nucleotide long non-coding RNA is filed under the name Nicotiana benthamiana. Its description in RNAcentral is "long non-coding RNA (NBEN_LNC024076)". Lineage: Eukaryota; Viridiplantae; Streptophyta; Magnoliopsida; Solanales; Solanaceae. The record is from RNAcentral.